RNAcentral lists this ribosomal RNA (1205 nucleotides) under Acinetobacter calcoaceticus. RNAcentral's name for it is "bacterial SSU rRNA". It matches the Rfam family "Bacterial small subunit ribosomal RNA", at positions 1 to 1201 of the family's 1533-position model. Lineage: Bacteria; Pseudomonadati; Pseudomonadota; Gammaproteobacteria; Moraxellales; Moraxellaceae. The record is from RNAcentral.
AACUGAAGAGUUUGAUCAUGGCUCAGAUUGAACGCUGGCGGCAGGCUUAACACAUGCAAGUCGAGCGGAGAGAGGUAGCUUGCUACUGAUCUUAGCGGCGGACGGGUGAGUAAUGCUUAGGAAUCUGCCUAUUAGUGGGGGACAACAUUUCGAAAGGAAUGCUAAUACCGCAUACGUCCUACGGGAGAAAGCAGGGGAUCUUCGGACCUUGCGCUAAUAGAUGAGCCUAAGUCGGAUUAGCUAGUUGGUGGGGUAAAGGCCUACCAAGGCGACGAUCUGUAGCGGGUCUGAGAGGAUGAUCCGCCACACUGGGACUGAGACACGGCCCAGACUCCUACGGGAGGCAGCAGUGGGGAAUAUUGGACAAUGGGCGCAAGCCUGAUCCAGCCAUGCCGCGUGUGUGAAGAAGGCCUUAUGGUUGUAAAGCACUUUAAGCGAGGAGGAGGCUACUUUAGUUAAUACCUAGAGAUAGUGGACGUUACUCGCAGAAUAAGCACCGGCUAACUCUGUGCCAGCAGCCGCGGUAAUACAGAGGGUGCAAGCGUUAAUCGGAUUUACUGGGCGUAAAGCGCGCGUAGGCGGCUAAUUAAGUCAAAUGUGAAAUCCCCGAGCUUAACUUGGGAAUUGCAUUCGAUACUGGUUAGCUAGAGUGUGGGAGAGGAUGGUAGAAUUCCAGGUGUAGCGGUGAAAUGCGUAGAGAUCUGGAGGAAUACCGAUGGCGAAGGCAGCCAUCUGGCCUAACACUGACGCUGAGGUGCGAAAGCAUGGGGAGCAAACAGGAUUAGAUACCCUGGUAGUCCAUGCCGUAAACGAUGUCUACUAGCCGUUGGGGCCUUUGAGGCUUUAGUGGCGCAGCUAACGCGAUAAGUAGACCGCCUGGGGAGUACGGUCGCAAGACUAAAACUCAAAUGAAUUGACGGGGGCCCGCACAAGCGGUGGAGCAUGUGGUUUAAUUCGAUGCAACGCGAAGAACCUUACCUGGCCUUGACAUAGUAAGAACUUUCCAGAGAUGGAUUGGUGCCUUCGGGAACUUACAUACAGGUGCUGCAUGGCUGUCGUCAGCUCGUGUCGUGAGAUGUUGGGUUAAGUCCCGCAACGAGCGCAACCCUUUUCCUUAUUUGCCAGCGAGUAAUGUCGGGAACUUUAAGGAUACUGCCAGUGACAAACUGGAGGAAGGCGGGGACGACGUCAAGUCAUCAUGGCCC